Brassica rapa (field mustard) is the source of this 4886-nucleotide long non-coding RNA. RefSeq lists it as uncharacterized. The record is from RefSeq and is a predicted model, not a curated record. NCBI's taxonomy places the organism in Eukaryota, Viridiplantae, Streptophyta, Magnoliopsida, Brassicales, Brassicaceae.
GCUCUGCUAUUCCCUCUUGUCCGUCAAAGAUUGAACCUCCAAAGAGUUAACAAAAUAUACCCAUAUUAUAUUAAAUAUGACCAUGUUACAUAUAUACAUUAGAAUUUAUUAUAAAAAUUUAAAACUAUUUAUAUUAAAUGUUUAUCUGUAUUACAAUCAGCUGUAAAAGAAUUGAUAUCAAUAGGUUGAAUGAUUUCGAAAGAGCUGAGAUCCUGAGCCAGAAGAGAGUAAUGGCUUGUGUGCACUGCUGCUGAUAUCUGGGGUAGAGCUUAUAGGAGGUAACGGGGUUGCUGAGAAAUAGUGUUAUCCAACGGUAUCAACCACUUCAAAAGGUUCCCAUAUGGAUCCUUGUGUUCAUGAUCAGAAAGUUGGUCCAUGUCUUGAUGCUUCUCAAACUGCAGUAUCUCAAUGAUUGGUUCAUUGGGACAGUCAGCGAUAUAAACUUGUAAAGAGACCUUCACCCUUCCAAAUAAAGGCAUUGUGUGAGAAUCAGUAGGUUAAAACAACAACUUAUAAGAAUUACCAUCAUGUGUCUCCAUUGGGUAAGGCACAACAUUUUGCCUUACUUCUUGCUACACCUCCAGCAACAUUAAGAUCAAACUCUCCUCUAUCUAAAAAAGCACUAACACAAGGUCUCUUUUUCCCGCUUUUCCUCUAGCUUUGUAUCUCCCAACACAGAGGUUUCUUUGACCAAAGCGGCUCACCAGACUCUGCGAUCCUAACAAAGAAAUGAGACUUCUGAAACCUGGAAAGGAAGUCUUCAUAUUCGCCAACCAUUUCUCCGAUUCCAAAUACAAUUGCGAUAUCUUUCCGGCGACUCUUCCCAUCUCCGGCCGGUUCACCGCCUCAUCCUCGACGCACUCCAGCGCCAACCGCAUUAACUUCUCCUCCACCGUCACCGGAAACGAAUCCCCCAACCUCCGAUCCAUCCACCUCCUCAACCGCCCCCUACGUCACCACCAUAUCCGCCGUCAACCACCGCUUUCGCGGUUUCAAUCACCGAAGUCCGUUCAAAAUCCCCGGUCGAUUUCUCAUACCUAUACUUCAACGACUCCUCGCCGGAGAGAAGCUCAAGCAUCAUGACUCCGAAGGCGAACACGUCUGAUUCCUGAGUCGCAACCCCCAAAGCCUGAAAAUCCGGGCGACAUGUAUCCUAUCACUCCUUCGAAUCAAACGGCUUUGGAAUCUCUCGAUCCGUCUGUUUCCCCACAGAGCUGCCCGGUGCCGAAGUGGCAGAUCUUGGCGUUGAAAUCGGGCUCCGUCACGAUCACCGCCGAGCUCUUGAUGUGGUUGUGAAGAUCUUCAAAUGCAUGUCUGUCAAUAUGGUCUCCUUCUUUCCUUCUCCGAUUUCCUUAAAGCCGAAUAUUUAUAAUAUGAGGAUCGAGAGAACUGAAAGGAUGGAGAGAAAACGGUGAAGACGAAGCGAUAGAGGAGAGAGCAUCGUGUUAUCCGUCUCAGGUUUUUUUUUUUUAAUUAUACCGGUAGAUUGAAACCGACGAAGCCCAGUAAAACCACAUUGAAGCCCAUACAAAAGCAACAGUUUAGGAGAUCAUACGUGUAUUAUUGAAAUGUUUUGAUUGGCCGAAUAAAUUUGUCGACGUGGACACUGUGAAAUCACUCUAUAUCGUGCUUUUAGUAUAGGAUAGAUAUCUGGACCACGUUUACUGUUGGGUCACACAAGAAAAAUGUAUUAUGGAUACACAUGGACUGUUGGGAUCACGUAGGUCAGCCGGCUAGGCGGCGAUUACAUGUGCAACGGCCAACAACCAUGGCGAUUCGACAAUAAUCGACCAUUAACUCGGAAAUUUUGAAGAAACUUCGUUUUGUUAUGAUUUACGUCAAAAAUCACGGUUUUUGUUAGAUCUACGAAGAUUGGAAAGAAUAGAGUAAAAAAUGAUUCAAAACUUGAAAUAAAUGUGAGAGAAAAAAUAGAGGCGGUAGUUAUAAAAUCGCAGGUCAAGAUUAUUGUAUAAUUAAAAUUUUGUCAUCUCAUUUCAUUAAAAACCUCAAAUCCAAAGAAACUUGUCGAAUCCGAAAAAUCCUAUUUGAAAAAAUUGUAUCGAAUCAGAAUCGAAAUUAGUUAAAUAUUUGAACGGAUUCAAAAUUUUGGUAUCUAGAGAAUCAUAACUAAAUUCGAUUUGAACUGAAGUGUUUCGGAUUACCCAAAUGUAUCCGAGAAAUAUAUACUUAAAAUAUUACUAUUUUUUAGAUUUAAUAUAUAAACAUAUCUAAAUAUAGAAGAUAUUUUAAAGUUGUUCAAAAUAUUUGAAAAUAUAUACAAAUAGUUAAAAGUAACUGUUUAAAAUAUCUAAACAAAACUCAAAACACCAAAAAUACUUCAAAUAUCUAUUGAUUUUCUAUCCAAAUAUUCAAGCUAUACCAAUUUAUAUGUUAAGUUUAUGUAUUUUAGAAUAUAUUAUUUAAAUUUAUAUAUAAUAUCUUAAUUUAUUUUUAGACUUUGAAAAAUUUAAAGUAUAUAUUAAUUUUUUAAAAUAAUUUUAAUGGGUUAUCCGAACCCGAACCAAACCCACAAAUAUUUGAACUUAACCCAAACCAAAAUUUUAAUAAUUUCCAAAUGGAACUGAAAUCUUUAACCACAAAAAUCUUUAAAACCCGAAUAGUUUCAAAUCGAUGUUAAGAUAACAAAUGCAAAGAUCGACCAUGGAUGUAGCUGAACGAGAAUCAGAAUAAUCAUCUGAAUCGGCGCAUUACAUUGUAAGUAUUGUACAUAUAUAAUAUGUAUACUUAAAAUGAUUAAAUCCCCGAGUAAUAACUGAUUAAUCUCUGUUUUUUUUGUUAACUCGAUUUGUCCGAAUCGACCACUUGAUUCAUACCUAACCAAAUCUCGAACAUGAGUAUUAAGUAGUCAUGAAUUAAUGUAUAUAAAAUAAAAUAAGUAUGACUAUUGUGAAAUUUGUGCUGCUAAAUAAAAUAAAUCUAAUAUGAACUAAAUGUAUAUAUCAAAUAAAUAUGUUGGUUGUGACAUUUGUGUCGCUAAUUUGUACCAUUUUUCUUUUAAUUUGUUUUGAAUUCUGCUUAAUAGUAAAUUCAUGAACUUUGUUAGUUGGAAAAAUAAAUUCAACAAAAUGUAAUGUUUUGCUAUUACUUUGACAAAAUUUUGUCGUAAGAUUAAAAGUAUAUAGAUAUUUUUUUUAAUUCAUUACAUUCACAAAAAUCUCGCAGCAUAUACAUAUAGUUUAUAUAUAUAGCUUCAUGAACUAUUAACGUGUCAAGCUUCCUCGUUUGAAGCGCUGCUAAUUGUUUUCUUCAUUAACGAAGAGGGAACAUCUUUUAUCAGAAGACUCAGAAGGAAACCGAUCAUCUGUGCAUGUAAGAAAAUAUUAGUCAUGGAUAACUAAUACAUUUAUAAUCAACAUAGUUUUGGUGGAUGAGAUGGUGGAAAAUAGUAUACCAAAGAUAAGGCGAUGCAUAAAAGACUGAAUCCAGGGAAAUAGAACGGUGCAUUGUCGGAGAGAAACAAUGCUAUAUCAAACCCAAAUCAUUUACUUGUUAGAGGUCUUCAUUAGAACUUAGUAAUGAAUGGUAUUGUAAGUCCACUCUCACAUCUUCACAUACCUGUCAAUGGACUAUAUACAAAUGGAGCCACGACUUCUGCAAAUGACUUUACCCCAUAUAUGCAUCCCUGGACCUUCCCCUGAAAGGAUAUGGAAAUAUGAAACGAAUACUAUCUAGAAGCUGUGGAAGUUUAACAAAAUCUUUAAUGACAAAAAAAAAAGAUUUGUGUGAGAUGUUAUGUGUAUUUCAUUCAAAUGAAAACAGAAUAUGUAGAACUCAUAUACCAUGUAUAUUUACUUUACCAACUGUGACAGUACUAUUAAAACGGAAUUUAUAUCCUGUAGCAACAAAAGCACGUUAUCAUGUUUGUAUAAAAAAUUUGGAUGCCAGAGUUUAUUGCGUCUACAUACAAAAAUUAAUAAAGAAAUCUAGAAUAAUUAAUCAAUGUUACAUGUCAGCAGAGUUUAAUGCCUCUACAUACAAAUUUUGGGGGGGGGAUUACGAUGUUACAUGUCAAACAUAUAUAUGUGGAGUGGCGCUUCCUGCAAACUCUAUUGACGACGAUUGGAUUUAGAAGAAGUUGGUAUUAAUUGUGACUUAGGUUUGAUAAGUGUCGUACUAUACUACGACUGGUGUAAACCCUAAAAUGACCUAAAAGGAUCAAGUGUACCGAUGAUCAUUUUGCCAAAAAAAAGUGUACUGACUCAUGGAUUACUCUAGGGAGAUUUGUUAACUGCGUAUGCACGCAUUUGUUUAGAUAACCAAUGAUGGAAGUAGGCCCGGGAAAAUAUCUGGAUCUGAAGAUUCGAACUAGACCGAUCCCAAUUUUAAGGUACCAAUUCAAACUCAAUCUUCAACUGUCCUUUCCGACUCUUCUCGGGUCUCCAGUUAAAUGGGUGUACACGGUCCCGGGGUCCCGGGAUGGUUGGUUGGAGGCAGCAAUCUUCAACUGUCCUUUCCGAACGACGGCAUCACUGGUUUAGGAUCUUCCUCGUGCUGCCGGGGCGAUACUUCUUGGGUGAGUGGACGGGUUCGAGAUUGUGAUUCUUUGUGCAGGUUGUGGCUUGUGGGUUUCAGAAGCUGUAGGAGCCAUGUGUUUCAAGGUUUGGGUCGCCUUUCUCUCCGGUAGCUCGCGGCAACUAGUUCCCGCUCCGUUCACGUCUGUUCCUCUGGUCCGUCAUUACUCUGGUGUUGUCUUGUGCUUAAUCCCAGUAUCUGCAUCUUUCCUUUGAUCGUUUACUGAUUGGGUUCUUCUGUUUAGAUUGUAUUUUUGCACUUCUGUUUCUUUGUGAAUCUCUGUAACUUCUGUCGAAAUUGAAAAAUCUGGUAAUAAUAUUUAAUAUUUUACCAAAAAAAAAAAAAAAAAAAAA